AUCUCCCAGAGAUCUUGUUAAAAUGCAGGUUCUGAUCCAGCUAGUCUGGGUGGGGCUUGAGAUUCUGCAUUUCUAACAAGCUCCCAGGUGCUGCCAG
RNAcentral lists this microRNA precursor (97 nucleotides) under Loxodonta africana (African savanna elephant). RNAcentral describes it as "mir-544 microRNA precursor family". It matches the Rfam family "mir-544 microRNA precursor family". The record is from Rfam by way of RNAcentral. Lineage: Eukaryota; Metazoa; Chordata; Mammalia; Proboscidea; Elephantidae.